UAGGGAAUCUUCGGCAAUGGGGGCAACCCUGACCGAGCAACGCCGCGUGAGUGAAGAAGGUUUUCGGAUCGUAAAGCUCUGUUGUAAGUCAAGAACGAGUGUGAGAGUGGAAAGUUCACACUGUGACGGUAGCUUACCAGAAAGGGACGGCUAACUACGUGCCAGCAGCCGCGGUAAUACGUAGGUCCCGAGCGUUGUCCGGAUUUAUUGGGCGUAAAGCGAGCGCAGGCGGUUAGAUAAGUCUGAAGUUAAAGGCUGUGGCUUAACCAUAGUACGCUUUGGAAACUGUUUAACUUGAGUGCAGAAGGGGAGAGUGGAAUUCCAUGUGUAGCGGUGAAAUGCGUAGAUAUAUGGAGGAACACCGGUGGCGAAAGCGGCUCUCUGGUCUGUAACUGACGCUGAGGCUCGAAAGCGUGGGGAGCGAACAGGAUUAGAUACCCUGGUAGUCCACGCCGUAAACGAUGAGUGCUAGGUGUUGGAUCCUUUCCGGGAUUCAGUGCCGCAGCUAACGCAUUAAGCACUCCGCCUGGGGAGUACGACCGCAAGGUUG
This 550-nucleotide ribosomal RNA is filed under the name uncultured bacterium. RNAcentral's name for it is "bacterial SSU rRNA". It matches the Rfam family "Bacterial small subunit ribosomal RNA", at positions 355 to 896 of the family's 1533-position model. The record is from RNAcentral.